CCAUAUUGAAGGACCAAGACAACUUGUGAUAGUCUUCAGCAUAGGAAGAUCAUUGAGAUCUCUAGUUUGGGCAUCCAGCCGAUCGACAUAGAGGAAAAUAUCAGGGGGGUUCUUCUUAGUCAACUUCUUUACUGAAGACAAGACACUGCGAUUGAAACCCUGUUCCAUCGCAGAGGACUUGAGGCCAGGUGUAUCAAAUACCCGAAUCUUAACACCAUCUACAACACCACUGAUCUCUUUCACACUGGUGGUAGCAGGUCCAAAGGCAUCAAUUGAUGUUUUUUCCUCUCCAAAGAUAGAGUUUAUGGUAGCACUCUUACCCACCCCAGAUUUGCCAAUAACCAGGAUAUUCACGGAGAAGUCCAAAUCAUCUUUCCCCUCUGCUUCAAGCUGGAAAGCUUUCAUCUUGGCAGCCUCAGUGCUAAAAAGUGGACUGUUUUGCCUUCGUGCAAUAAGUGUCAUCCGGUACAAAACUUGUGCAGCUAUGGGCUCAUCAGAAGAAAGACCCAACCUGUGAAUAAGCCUCAAAAACUUGACCCUAAUCUGCUGUAGUGUCUCCAGUUUCUUUUUCUCUUCUUCACUCAAGUUGUUCUCAGAUUCUCCACUGUUCUGAAGACUGGAAUGAGUAAAAAGAUUGGGUUGGCUUGGUCGGGGAGCUGGCCUCAGUGACCGGAGUGAUGACCCAAGACCAGCAGGACGUUCAACAGAGAAUAGUCUUGAUCCAUCUUGAGACGUGAUUGUUAUGUUGCCACCAUCAGAAUCACCACCUGUUGCUGCUUUUAAAAGAGCAGCUAAGGCAGCUGAAUCAAACAACUCCUUCCCAUCUCCUUCUUCAUCAGUAUCAGCCUCCUCAUCUGAGUCAGUGACAAUCUGACCAUCAAUAUCCUGCGAAACCUCAGCACCAGCAUAAGAGCCACCACCAGAUUCCCUUUCCAGCUCCUCCAUAAACUGUUUAGCAGCUUCAGAGCUUCCAAAAAUCAUACCAUCUGUCUCUCCAUCUGAAACUGAGCCUUCAAGGUCAGCUUCUUCAUCUAUAUGAUCUUUAGCUUCUCCUUCUUGCUCUGAGCCAGUGAUUGACCUUGAUAUGGCAGAUGUUUGACCAGAGACUUCAACUUCCACUACAUCUCCCUCGAUGCUUUCUCCGGAAUGGUCACCAUUGGCAUAUAUAGUUCCAGACACAGCCUGCUCAGGUUCCACUUCAACAUCCUUGGUGUCCAGCCUUUUAUUAACAGUUUCAGGAUCAGCUUCUUUAAUUUCCUCAGUAACAGCUACCACAUCACUAGUCUGAACAUCUCCAGAAUCUAGUUUUCCAGCACCAACAAUGUUAUCCACAGGAUUUGAUUCUGCAGCUGCAACAGUAUCAUCCACCACAGGCUUAGGGUCUUGUGCAUCUACUUCAUCAACUGUCAUAUUAACCACUUCUUCAAUAAGUUGUCUGGUCUCACCAACAUCAUUUACUGAUGUCACAUUCUCAUCAGUAGUACCUUCAAUAUGUUCUUCCACUUCCUUGCUCUCUUCCACAUCUCCAACAACAGCAACCCCUGGCCCUGAGACAUUGACUUCAAUGGCAUCCACAACUGCAUCUCCUUCGGAAGUAAAUUUCUCACCAUCUGUUUCAGCCAACAAAGAUUCUGACGGUUGUUCAACAACCACCUUAUUGAGUUUUUCGGCAUCAUCACUAUGUAUAGCUCUCUCUUCAAUGACCGAGGUAGGUUCCUCGGCCUCCUUCAAAUUGGAUGAAGCAAUAGCACUCUCUUCAAUGACCGAGGUAGGUUCCUCAACCUCCUUCAAAUUGGAUGAAGCAAUAGCACUCUCUUCAAUGACCGAGGUAGGUUCCUCAACCUCCUUCAAAUUGGAUGAAGCAAUAGCACUCUCUUCAAUGACCGAGGUAGGUUCCUCAACCUCCUUCAAAUUGGAUGAAGCAAUAGCACUCUCUUCAAUGACCGAGGUAGGUUCCUCAACCUCCUUCAAAUAGGUUCCUCGGCCUCCUUCAAAUUGGAUGAAGCAAUAGCACUCUCUUCAAUGACCGAGGUAGGUUCCUCAACCUCCUUCAAAUUGGAUGAAGCAAUAGCACUCUCUUCAAUGACCGAGGUAGGUUCCUCAGCCUCCUUCAAAUUAGAUGAAGCAACACUAGUUAAAGCUUCAUUCUUUUCAUCCUCCACAAUCUCCUUCACCUCCUCCUGAAUGGACCUAUCCUCACCCCCUUGCAAUUCCAUCUUUUCAUCCUCCACAGUCUCCUUCAC
Molecule: long non-coding RNA, 2243 nt
Filed under: Solanum tuberosum (potato)
Lineage: Eukaryota; Viridiplantae; Streptophyta; Magnoliopsida; Solanales; Solanaceae
Description: long non-coding RNA (STUB_LNC009349)
Source: RNAcentral